This 103-nucleotide small nuclear RNA is filed under the name Bos grunniens (domestic yak). The record is from RNAcentral. Lineage: Eukaryota; Metazoa; Chordata; Mammalia; Artiodactyla; Bovidae.
UUGCUUUGGCAACACAUAUACUAAAUUUUGAACAAUACAGAGAAGAUUAGUGUGGCCUCUAAGCAAAGAUGAUAUGCAAAUUCAUUAAGUGUUUCAUAUUUUU